Molecule: ribosomal RNA, 279 nt
Filed under: uncultured bacterium
Lineage: Bacteria
Description: partial 16S ribosomal RNA
Rfam family: Bacterial small subunit ribosomal RNA
Source: RNAcentral
UGCCAGCCGCCGCGGUAACACGAACCGGACAAACGUUAUUCGGAUUUACUGGGCGUAAAGGGCGCGUAGGCGGUAUGUCAUGUCAGGGGUGAAAGGCCUGGGCUCAACCCAGGAACUGCCUUUGAAACUGGCAAACUAGAGUCCGAUAGAGGAUGGCGGAAUUCCCAGUGUAGAGGUGAAAUUCGUAGAUAUUGGGAAGAACACCAGUGGCGAAGGCGGCCAUCUGGAUCGGCACUGACGCUGAGGCGCGAAAGCGUGGGGAGCAAACAGGAUUAGAUA